RNAcentral lists this microRNA precursor (156 nucleotides) under Anopheles sinensis. Its description in RNAcentral is "microRNA mir-981". It matches the Rfam family "mir-981 microRNA precursor family". The record is from RNAcentral. Lineage: Eukaryota; Metazoa; Arthropoda; Insecta; Diptera; Culicidae.
GGUACAGAAAUACACCUUAUCUGGAACGGGUUUCGCUGGCUAACGUGUUGUGAGGAAAACGAAUAAAAAAAAACACACACACAUCCUAGCGCGCAUAGCGCAAAAUUUCAAUUCGUUGUCGACGAAACCUGCACUGGAGUUAGGUGAUCAGCAUCG